RNAcentral lists this ribosomal RNA (253 nucleotides) under uncultured bacterium. RNAcentral's name for it is "partial 16S ribosomal RNA". It matches the Rfam family "Bacterial small subunit ribosomal RNA", at positions 524 to 776 of the family's 1533-position model. The record is from RNAcentral.
UACGUAGGGGGCAAGCGUUAUCCGGAUUUACUGGGUGUAAAGGGAGCGUAGACGGCGAUGCAAGCCAGAUGUGAAAGCCCGGGGCUCAACCCCGGGACUGCAUUUGGAACUGUGUGGCUGGAGUGUCGGAGAGGCAAGUGGAAUUCCUAGUGUAGCGGUGAGAUGCGUAGAUAUUAGGAGGAACACCAGUGGCGAAGGCGGCUUGCUGGACGAUGACUGACGUUGAGGCUCGAAAGCGUGGGGAGCAAACAGG